Molecule: ribosomal RNA, 496 nt
Filed under: uncultured bacterium
Lineage: Bacteria
Description: partial 16S ribosomal RNA
Rfam family: Bacterial small subunit ribosomal RNA
Source: RNAcentral
AUGAACGCUGGCGGCGUGCCUAAUCCAUGCAAGUCGAGCGAACGGACGAGAAGCUUGCUUUUCUGAUGUUAGCGGCGGACGGGUGGGUAACACGUGGAUAACCUACCUAUAAGACUGGGAUAACUUCGGGAAACCGGAGCUAAUACCGGAUAAUAUUUUGAACCGCAUGGUUCAAAAGUGAAAGACGGUCUUGCUGUCACUUAUAGAUGGAUCCGCGCUGCAUUAGCUAGUUGGUAAGGUAACGGCUUACCAAGGCAACGAUGCAUAGCCGACCUGAGAGGGUGAUCGGCCACACUGGAACUGAGACACGGUCCAGACUCCUACGGGAGGCAGCAGUAGGGAAUCUUCCGCAAUGGGCGAAAGCCUGACGGAGCAACGCCGCGUGAGUGAUGAAGGUCUUCGGAUCGUAAAACUCUGUUAUUAGGGAAGAACAUAUGUGUAAGUAACUGUGCACAUCUUGACGGUACCUAAUCAGAAAGCCACGGCUAACUACGUG